UACGUAGGGUGCGAGCGUUAAUCGGAAUUACUGGGCGUAAAGCGUGCGCAGGCGGCUUUGUAAGUCAGAUGUGAAAUCCCCGGGCUUAACCUGGGAACUGCAUUUGGGACUGCAAGGCUUGAGUGCGGCAGAGGAGACUGGAAUUCCUGGUGUAGCAGUGAAAUGCGUAGAUAUCAGGAGGAAUACCGAUGGCGAAGGCAGGUCUCUGGGCUGACACUGACGCUCAUGCACGAAAGCGUGGGGAGCAAACAGG
This 253-nucleotide ribosomal RNA is filed under the name uncultured bacterium. RNAcentral's name for it is "partial 16S ribosomal RNA". It matches the Rfam family "Bacterial small subunit ribosomal RNA", at positions 524 to 776 of the family's 1533-position model. The record is from RNAcentral.